UAUUUGGUGUUGAGGGAGAGUCAGAUCAUAUGGUAAUGCAGAUGCUACUCUCGUUACUUCUGUGUUAAAGAAGCAAUCGAAAUAUAUAGAACCUUGAAGGCUGGUGAUGGUGAUAAUGUAACGGAGCCUGUAGGUAGUUCAGGGCUCCCUGGAGGAAAGGAGCUCAAGAUAUCUAUCUACAUUAAACAUCUUACUUAUGCCCAUUGUUGAAAAAUCUCACUACCUGUGCUGAGCUCUUCAUAGUGAGUCUGAGUUUCCAGUCAAACAACCAGGAGUGGAAUCUGCCAGUAAUAAGUGCUACACAGCUUGCCAUACUCUCUUGUAACUUAUGGUCAAAUUUCAAAGAUUCAGAAAUCAUGAUCUGUCAAGUGGAAGAAUGAAAAUUGAAAAUCUGCUUCUUCGCUGAUGCCUGACCGGGUCUGAGUACUGCUGGUAAUGGAACAGGGAAAGGGGUUGAUUAUGCACUGUCUGGAACGUAAU
Molecule: long non-coding RNA, 480 nt
Filed under: Capra hircus (goat)
Lineage: Eukaryota; Metazoa; Chordata; Mammalia; Artiodactyla; Bovidae
Description: lncRNA (ENSCHIG00010004852.1)
Source: RNAcentral